AAUGGACUUGCUGCUGUCACUUGGAUUUUUGCCGGCUCUCACGGAUGCAGUGCCUAGUGCUAGCUCUGUGUGACUUUGCCACGCAGACUUCGGGAGGUCCCCUGUACGAAUCAUUGCGAUGUGGACGCCGUUUGUCGUGUUGCUUGUUUGGCAUGCAAAUCGUAUUGUUCUGUCUGGAGUCGGGAUGACGAAGGGCAAGAAUGAAGUGCCCGAAGCGUGGUUGCGUACAUGCGGAAUGCCUCUCUGAUCGUAUGAGCAGCGAUUUCCGGCUCGCGUCCUGYGAAGGCCCGCCCGUUUGGGUUGGUGC
Molecule: unclassified non-coding RNA, 307 nt
Filed under: Carex maritima
Lineage: Eukaryota; Viridiplantae; Streptophyta; Magnoliopsida; Poales; Cyperaceae
Description: partial external transcribed spacer 1
Source: RNAcentral